GCAACAUGUAAGACUAGGAAGGACCUGCGUAAAGUCUGCUCUGAAUGACUGCUUAAGUCAUAUUUCAAGGUGAAAGUAGUGAAAUGUAGGAUCAGCCUAUGUAUUCAUACAUUUUUUAAAGUGCUUUCAGAUACAUUUUUACCUUUUUCUUGUUUGUUUAAACUUUAACCAAACAAAUCUAGGUUGGAAGAAGUGGCAAUAUCCCAGCUGGAACAACAGUUGAUACAGACAUUACACACCCAUAUGAGUUUGAUUUUUACCUCUGUAGCCAUGCUGGAAUACAGGGUACCAGUCGUCCUUCACACUAUCAUGUUUUAUGGGAUGAUAACUGCUUCACUGCAGAUGAACUUCAGCUGCUAACUUACCAGCUCUGCCACACUUACGUACGCUGUACACGAUCUGUUUCUAUACCUGCACCAGCGUAUUAUGCUCACCUGGUAGCAUUUAGAGCCAGAUAUCAUCUUGUGGACAAAGAACAUGACAGGUAAUAUAAAAGCAUAACAGGUUCUCACCCAAAUCCAAAUAUUGUCUGCAUGGUAGGAUUUUCAAGUUCCACAAGCUAUUAGCGGAGUCAGUGAUCCAUAUGAAAAGUGAUGACAGA
This 601-nucleotide small RNA is filed under the name Pongo abelii (Sumatran orangutan). RNAcentral describes it as "retained intron". Lineage: Eukaryota; Metazoa; Chordata; Mammalia; Primates; Hominidae. The record is from RNAcentral.